This 692-nucleotide ribosomal RNA is filed under the name uncultured bacterium. Its description in RNAcentral is "bacterial SSU rRNA". It matches the Rfam family "Bacterial small subunit ribosomal RNA", at positions 9 to 694 of the family's 1533-position model. The record is from RNAcentral.
GAGUUUGAUCCUGGCUCAGGAGAACGCUAGCGACAGGCUUAACACAUGCAAGUCGAGGGGCAGCGGGGUGUAGUAAUACACUGCCGGCGACCGGCGCACGGGUGCGUAACGCGUAUGCAACCUACCUAUCAGUCAGGGAUAGCCCGGCGAAAGUCGGAUUAAUACCUGAUGAAGCAGGGGCUCCACAUGGGGCUAUUUGCUAAAGAUUAUAUUGCUGAUAGAUGGGCAUGCGUUCCAUUAGAUAGUUGGCGGGGUAACGGCCCACCAAGUCUGCGAUGGAUAGGGGUUCUGAGAGGAAGGUCCCCCACACUGGUACUGAGACACGGACCAGACUCCUACGGGAGGCAGCAGUGAGGAAUAUUGGUCAAUGGCCGGGAGGCUGAACCAGCCAAGUCGCGUGGAGGAAGACGGCCCUAUGGGUUGUAAACUUCUUUUAUAGGGGAAUAAAGUGCAGGACGCGUCCUGUUUUGUAUGUACCUUAUGAAUAAGCAUCGGCUAACUCCGUGCCAGCAGCCGCGGUAAUACGGAGGAUGCGAGCGUUAUUCGGAUUUAUUGGGUUUAAAGGGUGCGUAGGUUGACAUUUAAGUCAGCGGUGAAAGUUUGUCGCUCAACGAUAAAAUUGCCGUUGAAACUGUGUGUCUCGAGUAUGUUUGAGGUAGGCGGAAUGCGUGUGUAGCAAUGAAAUGCAUAGA